RNAcentral lists this ribosomal RNA (429 nucleotides) under Pseudomonadota bacterium. Its description in RNAcentral is "Proteobacteria bacterium partial 16S ribosomal RNA". It matches the Rfam family "Bacterial small subunit ribosomal RNA", at positions 355 to 776 of the family's 1533-position model. Lineage: Bacteria; Pseudomonadati; Pseudomonadota. The record is from RNAcentral.
UGGGGAAUAUUGGACAAUGGGCGAAAGCCUGAUCCAGCCAUGCCGCGUGUGUGAAGAAGGUCUUCGGAUUGUAAAGCACUUUAAGUUGGGAGGAAGGGCAGUAAGCGAAUACCUUGCUGUUUUGACGUUACCGACAGAAUAAGCACCGGCUAACUCUGUGCCAGCAGCCGCGGUAAUACAGAGGGUGCAAGCGUUAAUCGGAAUUACUGGGCGUAAAGCGCGCGUAGGUGGUUCGUUAAGUUGAAUGUGAAAGCCCCGGGCUCAACCUGGGAACUGCAUCCAAGACUGGCGGGCUAGAGUAGGGCAGAGGGUGGUGGAAUUUCCUGUGUAGCGGUGAAAUGCGUAGAUAUAGGAAGGAACACCAGUGGCGAAGGCGACCACCUGGGCUCAUACUGACACUGAGGUGCGAAAGCGUGGGGAGCAAACAGG